CCUACGGGAGACAGCAGUGAGGAAUAUUGGUCAAUGGACGCAAGUCUGAACCAGCCAUGCCGCGUGCAGGAAGACGGCUCUAUGAGUGGUAAACUGCUUUUGUACGAGGGUAAACGCAGAUACGCGUAUCUGUCUGAAAGUAUCGUACGAAUAAGGAACGGAUAACUCCGUGCCAGCAGCCGCGGUAAUACGGAGGAUUCAAGCGUUGGCCGGAUUUAUUGGGUUUAAAGGGGGCGUAGGCGGUCGGAUAAGUUAGAGGUGAAAUCCCGAGGCUCAACUUCGGAAUUGCCUCUGAUACUGUUCGGCUAGAGAGUAGUUGCGGUAGGCGGAAUGUAUGGUGUAGCGGUGAAAUGCUUAGAGAUCAUACAGAACACCGAUUGCGAAGGCAGCUUACCAAGCUACUUCUGACGUUGAGGCACGAAAGCGUGGGGAGCAAACAGGAUUAGAUACCCCAGUAGUC
RNAcentral lists this ribosomal RNA (460 nucleotides) under uncultured bacterium. Its description in RNAcentral is "partial 16S ribosomal RNA". It matches the Rfam family "Bacterial small subunit ribosomal RNA", at positions 338 to 795 of the family's 1533-position model. The record is from RNAcentral.